RNAcentral lists this ribosomal RNA (457 nucleotides) under uncultured bacterium. RNAcentral describes it as "bacterial SSU rRNA". It matches the Rfam family "Bacterial small subunit ribosomal RNA", at positions 34 to 507 of the family's 1533-position model. The record is from RNAcentral.
CGCUGGCGGCGUGCCUCAGACAUGCAAGUCGAACGAUUAAAGCUCUCUUCGGAGAGUGUAUAGAGUGGCGCACGGGUGAGUACACGUAGUAAUCUACCUCGAGUGGGAAUAACAACCGGAAACGGUUUGCUUAAUACCGCAUAAUGCAGCGGCACCGCAAGGUGACAGUUGUUAAAGAUUUAUCGCUUGAGGAGGAGCUUGCGGCAGAUUAGCUAGUUGGUAGGGUAACGGCUUACCAAGGCUACGAUCUGUAACCGGUCUAAGAGGACGGUCGGUCACACUGACACUGAAUAACGGGUCAGACUCCUACGGGAGGCAGCAGUCGGGAAUUUUGGGCAAUGGGCGAAAGCCUGACCCAGCAACGCCGCGUGAAGGAUGAAGUAUUUCGGUAUGUAAACUUCGAAAGAAUAGGAAGAAUUAAUGACGGUACUAUUUAUAAGGUCCGGCUAACUACGUG